Molecule: small RNA, 803 nt
Filed under: Lactifluus sp. MD131
Lineage: Eukaryota; Fungi; Basidiomycota; Agaricomycetes; Russulales; Russulaceae
Description: eukaryotic LSU rRNA
Rfam family: 5.8S ribosomal RNA (bases 264-417)
Source: RNAcentral
UUAGAGGAAGUAAAAGUCGUAACAAGGUUUCCGUAGGUGAACCUGCGGAAGGAUCAUUAUCGUAACAACUCAGAGGCACGAUGGUGUGCUGUCUGCUGACCCUCGCAAGGGGGUCGUGCACGCGCCCGGGUGUCCUCGCAAACAAUCCACCUCACCUUUGUGCAUCACCGCGUGGGCCCCUCGAAAAGAGGGGCUUGCGUUCUUUUUUUUUGUCACACACGCCGGUACUAGAAUGUGUUACGUGCAUAGCACGCGAUCAAUACAACUUUCAACAACGGAUCUCUUGGCUCUCGCAUCGAUGAAGAACGCAGCGAAAUGCGAUACGUAAUGUGAAUUGCAGAAUUCAGUGAAUCAUCGAAUCUUUGAACGCAUCUUGCGCCCCUUGGCAUUCCGAGGGGCACACCCGUUUGAGUGUCGUGAAAUCCUCAACCUUUCCUCCUUUUUGGGAGAAAAGGCUUGGACGUUGGAGGCUUUUGCUGGCCUCUUUGAUGGAAGCCAGCUCCUCUUAAAGAAAUUAGUGGGGUCCCCUUUGCCGAUCUCCCUCGACGUGAUAAGCCUUCUUUGACGUCGCAUCGAGAGGUGAAGAGAGAGGCCUGCUUUCUAGACUUUUGACCCUUCUGACCUCAAAUCGGGUGAGACUACCCGCUGAACUUAAGCAUAUCAAUAAGCGGAGGAAAAGAAACUAACAAGGAUUCCCCUAGUAACUGCGAGUGAAGCGGGAAAAGCUCAAAUUUAAAAUCUGGUGGUCUUUGGCCGUCCGAGUUGUAAUUUAGAGAAGUGACUUCCGCGCUGGACCGUGUACA